Gadus chalcogrammus (walleye pollock) is the source of this 2559-nucleotide long non-coding RNA. RefSeq lists it as uncharacterized. NCBI's taxonomy places the organism in Eukaryota, Metazoa, Chordata, Actinopteri, Gadiformes, Gadidae. The record is from RefSeq and is a predicted model, not a curated record. The transcript is spliced from 3 exons.
GGAGUCCAUGGAGGGGCAUCACAGCCAGUGGGCGGAAAAGUUACAGUCCAUAGUGAGAUCAGCGUGAAGGCGGAGCCGUCGGCCAUAACAACAAUUGGCACCAAACUGAAAACCGAGUGUGAAGAGGGCGUGUGCUCGAGAGGUCUGGUCGACGCCGAACCCAUCUGCAGUACCUUGCCUAUGCCUAUAGAGACCUGCACUCCAAGAAUAGGGCGUGUGGGUUUGAAUAGCGCUAGUGCUGCGGUGCAAUUUCGUGGAAACUUGUUCAAUCCACCUGUACUUAACUGGAAUGUGGGCCCAAUGAACUUCAGCCCCGCUGGCCAGAAAUUUGGCCGUUUGCACCAUGGCCGAGCCAGCAACAGGGAGGCCCGGAGCCUUCGUCGGGACAGGAGGAGGCCCCCCAAGCCUCCAAGAUGACGGGGUUCAUCACGACCCUAGGCCAGGACCCCCCCGGCCCCGCCCGCACGCCCGUCCACCCCUUCUACCAGUUCCCCCAGCAACCACGAUUUCCACAACCCCGGUUCCACUCGGCUCUCCUCCCCCAGCCACCCGCCGCCAUGCGCUACCCCCACAACCCCAUGCUCGGGCCCCUCGCGGCCCUGGGGGGAAUGAGGCAUCUCCUGGGGCCCGGGGUGGUCUGGCCGGGGGGCCUACUCUGGAACUUCCAGCAAGCAGGGAGGGAGAUGAACAUCCCUAGCCUGAUGGGAAACUUCCCUAACCCUGGAGUCCCCGGAGCAAACCAGUACAGACCUGGACCCAGAGGAGGGCGGUAGACUCACUGAAGGCCUGGAGGAGGGCGGUAGACCCAGUGAAGACCUGGUGGAGGGUGGUAGACUCCCUACUGGCCGGUUCAUUCCCUGCUGCGUUGUGCUGAAGAAGAGGAUUUGGGCGUUGAGAAGCGAUGGGAGAUGAAGCCAUAUUUAUUUUACCAUGGCAAGAGACAGAUUUUUUAAUUGACUAACUCCGUCCAGCUCCGUUGACUUAAGAGACCCUGUUGUACAAAGUCCUUAUGUUUGCCUCGUGCUAGCACAGCGCUUCUAGCACGUUUAUAUUUAAAUACUUUUUCUACAAUCAACCUGCCAUUCUCGGGCUGCGUACAGCAGGCCUUGGACACACCUGCUCUUCAAUGGAACAGUUCUAUUUUCUGAGGCAGAAAAGGGCCUUCCGGGUUCAAUGUCUUCCAACAGUUGUUAUUUUUCUGUGUUUGCUGGGCGUUCCCCGGAGGGCCCCUUGCCCCUCUUCAUUUAUCCAUCUGCCAAGUAAUUUAACACAACCAAGAGUUUGUUGGUUUGUUCCAAACUCGUCAACACAAUGAAGAGCAUCUUGGGGUCUGUGACGAACCCACUGUAACCAGUUAAAGACAAGCAGCUUCUUUUAACUGAAAUCCUUUUAUUUUUUUACUCAUAAAGGUUAUGUUUGUAUUAAAACAUUCUGAUCAAACAGCUCAUUCUGUGGCCUGUCUCAUAAGGAAAACCAUACUGAACACUUUUAAUACAAGAUUCUGGAACAAAAUCUCCCUUACUUCUGUGCUCCCUCCAUCUAUUUAUUUCUCCACCGUUGGGAAGUGCUGCCUUUCACGCACCUUUGAUUGACAGGCAUGAUGGAUUCCCGGAUCCAAUCACGUAAAAGCUUCACUUAGUGGUUAAAUUAGAUGGGACUGGUUUAAAAUUGAAAAUGCUCCAUAAAGAGUCAUCUGGAAACAUGUUCUCGCAAAACACUUCAUUCACUAAAAGCUGACCGCUGGCUAUACCAUUUUUAACGAAUUAACCUCUAAUAGCUCUUAAAUCUUACCUACAGCCCGCGAUGGACCAAAGGGAUCUGCGAUUUUCUCCUCAUUGAGUUAUCAUGAUUAAAAGGUUGAAAGGAUUGAAAAUGUUGCAUGGAAAUCUCUUAAUUUACAAUUUAAUGGAUCUAUUUUCCCUCCUGGCUUCUUAGCCAAGCAGGUGACCAAUCACUCUAAACUUACAUUAUGGAAAUGGUGCAGCUGAACGAAGCUACAGCGUCUCAGUGAUUCUGUCUAAUCGUAUAGUGAGUUCAACAAAUACUCAUAAUAUUAUAUAAUACUCAUAUAUUAAGUUGAAAUUCAAGAUUUAUUAUACAAAUACUUUUAUUAUACAUUCAGAGAUCAGAGUACCAAGGGAUGAUCACUGGUAGACCUGGCAACCAUGGUGAAAAUGCAUUGCUAUCUGACUGUUAAAAGACUGGAAGUGCUCAAGCCCCCCCAGGGGAUGGGUGUCAGCUGCGUUGUGAUGUCACUGGGGGGAGGAGCCUCCCACUUGACUCCAUCUCUUUCUGCUUCUGCAACAAACACUUCUCACAGAAAGGUAGAUGGAGACGGAGAGAGGUAGGUAAGUAGUGGUAGACUUGGUUAUUGAUGUUCCAAUUGAAGCACAAAGUACAUAAAAUAAAGGUGACUAACAAAAUUGCUAGAAUCCCAUUGUUGGAACGGUGCAAAGAACACGGCAGGUCACAUUGUUUUAAUAGAGAAAAGCACAUUCAGCACAAAUGUAUAGGGGUGAAAUAUUUCACCCACUUCAAGCAGGGCUUGUCUAAUUUGGA